Molecule: RNA transcript, 2709 nt
Organism: Pongo pygmaeus (Bornean orangutan)
Lineage: Eukaryota; Metazoa; Chordata; Mammalia; Primates; Hominidae
Gene: ERLN
Gene name: endoregulin
Exons: 3
Source: RefSeq, a predicted model, not a curated record
AACGUGGGGAGACCCUGUCCCUACAAAUAUAAAAAAAAAUUAGCCAGGCGUGGUAGCAUACACCUGUGGUCCCAGCUACUCCUGUGGAGGUUGAGGCAGAAGGGCUGCCUGGGGCAUGACGGUGCCACUGCACUCCAGCCUGAGUGACAGAGCAAGACCCUGUCUCAAAAACAAAUAAAAUAAAAAUAAAAAAUGACAAUAAAGCCAUGGAUACAAGAAUCUCAUUAGAAAAACUUGGCAAAGAGUAUAUAAAAGUUUCCUCCCAACCGGGCAUGGUGGCACAUGCCUGUGAUCCCAGCUACUCAGGAGGCUGAGGCAGGAGAAUAGCUUGAACCCGGGAGACAGAGGUUGCAGUGAGCCGAGAUCACACCACUGCACUCCAGCCUGGGCUACAGAGUGAGACUCUGCCUCAAAAAAAAAAAAAAAAAUUAUCCAAUUGGGGCCGGCAGUUAAUUGAAAGAGCUGGUCAAAGCAACUUUUGUUAAAGAACACCUAAGUUCUCUACACAUCUAUUACUUUUUUACAUAUCUCACAUUAAAUGGAAACAUAUAACUAUUCCUUGGCUGGCCUUCCUGGCCUUUUCUCUGAGUGUGGGCUUGCCAACCAGAGCUCCUGUAUUGUUAUUUUCUAGUUUUGGUUUCUUUAAAGCAGAACAAAAACUUAAAGUCAUUGGAACUUAAAGGCAAAGGAAUCUGGGUGUGAAAACCUCCUGGGUUUUUACAAAAUGUCCCUGAUGUUUAGUUAUCAUGUCUGCAUCUUUUUCAACAGGAACAUUAUCUGAGUGAUUCCAAAGUCAUCCCAAAGUGGUCAGUAGGUAUUUCUAGAAAGAAUUUCUUUCACCACUCGCUCUGAGGUGCAGCACAAGUGCUUCAGAGCUCAGACUGUGUGCUGCUGGAUUCAAACUCCAACUCAGUUACUUAGUAGCUGAUGACAUUGGCUAAGUUAUUUAACCUCUCUGUGCCCGUUCCCCACAUGUAAAAUUGGGGUUUCAGCUAUUAUUGUUGCUUCAUUGGUUCCCGGGAUGUUAAAUUCAAUUAUGUAAUUACAAGUACAACUGCCAUGAACAGGUUUGGGAACCAACACCUGACUCUUGAUAAGCAUCUGACUUAACUGACGGAGCUGCACGCAAAGGGUGAGCUAGAGACUUGCCCACUGCUGUGAGCAUUCAGCAUGCCAAGGGCCUUAGUCAGUAAGUUUCACACAAGGAAACGGAAAACAUCAGGUAACCCGGGUCAGCGACGCCCAUGAUAGUUAAGAACGACUGUCCUAAAUCUGCCUCCAUCUGUAAUCCAACCCUGGCCACACCUGGGGAGAAUCACCUGGGGAUGUGUAAACAAUACGACAUCCUGGCAACCCCAGAGACUGAUGUAAGUGGUACCAGGUGGGGCCUGGGCAUUUCUCAAAGCUCCCAGAUCUUUACCAGCUGGGAAAAGCACCCGAGGGCUAGAAGGGAAGCCCUGGGAGGGCAGGGCCCGCCUCUCUGAUCUCACAACUGGACACACGGUGCCUGGCAUGGUUCCUGGCCACAGCGGGCCCUCACAUCCUAGCUUUUAAAGGAGUAAAUGGUGGCCACUAGGUUUCAAGCACCAGGGCACAGGCUUGAUCCCCUCUUCCCAGCUUCCCUAUUGUGCCAGUGGGCAGAAACCAACCACACAAUGUUGCUGAGGCCGUGCCCAACAGACAAAGGCACCAAUGGGAAGCCUCAGCGGGGAGCAACACUUCCCCCAGAAACAGUUCCAGGAGGCACCAGGCGCCAGCCAGGGCUGCAGUUAAUCAUUCACCCCACAACACAGGAAGUGAGCCCCACCCCAGUCCCAGCCCCAGCCCCAGGGCUUCCUGAGCUCAGGGCAGGUCCGCAGCCCACACAUCAUCCAGACAAAGGACAGCCCAGCCCAGCCACAGGUGAGGUGGCCUGAUGGCCUGGGGCAAAGGCCCUCGGUCCAGUCUCUUCCCCGUACACCCCAAGUCUGACUUCUCUCAGGAGGGACUCAUGAACACGUGCCCUGAGCACCCCCAAAAUGACAUCACACAAUGGCAGAAAGGAGCUGAAGGGGGAACGUGAAAGGCAGAAAAGGAGCCGUGGUUGCCAGGCAACCAGCCCUAGCCCACCUGUUUGUUUGGUGACAGCAACUAAGGUCUGGUCAGGGCCGCUUGGCCACGCUCACGCCUUUUCCUCUCAACAGUUGCUUCUUUGAGUCAGGGUGCAGCUCUGGUCACCUGGCGGCCUCUUCAGCUCAGCCCUCCACAAAGUGUGAGCCUGAAGGACCACCCUGAACUGCCCUUGUAGGACCCAGAACAGCUACCAGCAGAAUCAGGAGCCAGAGAUGCCAGCUUCCACUUUAAUGUUUGGAACCUUCCUUCCUGGAGUCUUCUGCCCCCUAGUGCAAUCUGGACCGGUUUUCCCUAGGCCUGGAACACAGCUGUCUUUCCGGACUACCCUCCAAUAUUGUCCUGUGCCAAGACUGACUUACUCCUGGGUUGGGAGCAGCCUCCUCUAGCUUACAUCAAGCAUCAUCAGAGUUCAGAAAUCAGCUUCACAAAACUGGAGAGUGGUGGGUCAGACUGAAAGACCUUCUACUGCCCAGGUCUUACCUGGAGUUUUGCUACUUCCUUCCUGAUCAGGAAGCUGACUUGGUCCCGGUCAUUCCUGGAGUAAUAGAGACGGCACCAGGAAGGCUUCCCAUCCCUGCCAGCCCGGCCAGACUCCUG